Molecule: ribosomal RNA, 440 nt
Filed under: uncultured bacterium
Lineage: Bacteria
Description: partial 16S ribosomal RNA
Rfam family: Bacterial small subunit ribosomal RNA
Source: RNAcentral
CCUACGGGGUGCAGCAGUGGGGGAUAUUGCACAAUGGGGGGAACCCUGAUGCAGCGACGCCGCGUGGGUGAAGAAGCGCCUCGGCGCGUAAAGCCCUGUCAGCAGGGAAGAAAAUGACGGUACCUGAAGAAGAAGCCCCGGCUAACUACGUGCCAGCAGCCGCGGGAAUACGUAGGGGGCAAGCGUUAUCCGGAUUUACUGGGUGUAAAGGGGGCGCAGACGGCGAUGCAAGCCAGGAGUGAAAGCCCGGGGCCCAACCCCGGGACUGCUCUUGGAACUGCGUGGCUGGAGUGCAGGAGGGGCAGGCGGAAUUCCUGGUGUAGCGGUGAAAUGCGUAGAUAUCAGGAGGAACACCGGUGGCGAAGGCGGCCUGCUGGACUGCAACUGACGUUGAGGCCCGAAAGCGUGGGGAGCAAACAGGAUUAGAUACCCGAGUAGUC